Molecule: long non-coding RNA, 3695 nt
Filed under: Bemisia tabaci
Lineage: Eukaryota; Metazoa; Arthropoda; Insecta; Hemiptera; Aleyrodidae
Description: lncRNA ENSSSA1NGG009045
Source: RNAcentral
AUGGAUUCGGAAACUACAGAAAAUCUACCCAAUCGAUGGGCACAGGAAUUUCGGGAACGUCUCGAAUAUCUCAGUCGUUCAAAACUGGAGGAAGCACGUGCGAAAAGCCCAGAAGAACAAUUUGUACAUCUUUUAUCCGUUUUAUCAGAGAUGCAGGCACUGUUUAUCCAAGUAGCAAUGCAAUUUCAAGAAUACACUUGGAGGAAAAUAAUGGAAAGUAGAAGAUUGACCAUGCUCAGAAUCCAAGAAAGGAGGAUUGCGGCUUUUCAUGCGUUUAAUCAGAUAAUGUUGAACCUCAGCUUGAAUUUUCCACCCCUGUACCACCUAGACACAGUUUUGUAGAAGCCUCUAGUCACAACAAACAAACAAAGACCAGGAGUGGAAGAAGAAGACCCCUAAAACGUCUUGUUGCCAGGCGGCGGAUUCUCUUCCCUGAUGAUGAUAAUGCGACUCAGGAAACUUCAUCCCACUCAUCCACCAAGACGUGAUGGUUAGACCUAUGCCCUUUCAACUCAGCAACUUCAAAAGUGAAAUGUGCCUCUUUCACUGCAAUGGGUGAGAAAAAUGGUGCCAUAUCCGUGAAUUCAAGUCCUUUCGCUGCACAUUUUCAGUGCCCAACUCAUUUGAAGUGGCAUUCUUGUGAGAAUAUUCAUUGAAAAGUUACCAAACUCUUAGAAGUUUAGAGUCAAAGCCAAGUAGUUUUACACACUGUUAGAGUGACAGAAGAUCUGCCAUCUCGAUUCUUGUAUUUAUUUUUUAUGCUAAACUGAGGACUGUUGAUCUUCUGUCGCAUUUUAAAAGUGUGUGAAGUCGUUCAGCUUACGAGUAUACUUCAUUUAAGACACUAUCUGAAUGAUCAAACCAUUCAGUUUAAGUUGUCCUUGAUGAGAAAAUGAUUUCUCUUUCAUUUUUAAGUAUGUGAAGUCUGUCCAAAAUUAGUGGAAAGACACCUUAAUUUAAUUUACCAAAGCCUGAGGGCUGUACAGGAAUUUUCAUUAAUUGCUUUAUAACUCUGCUGAAUUUAGUUAGAAUAUUGAAAUAUUCUGCUCAUUUUUCUACUUAGGCUCGUCUUUUUAGAUUUCCUUGGUUGAGUGAGAACCAACAACAUUCUUUUCAAAAUCCAAUUUUGAUGUUUCUGCAAUGAAAGCAAUGUUUUAAUUUUUUUUUACUGACAUAAAUUUUCAAGACCAAGAUCCCCUACAGUCCACUGGUGUCAAACUUCUUACAGAAUGAGCUGUUAGAUUUAAGGAGAAGUGACCAUUAAUCAUGAUGAAAACUUGUUGUUUUCAGGCAGAAAAUCUGUUUGGGGUAAAAAAUAUUUAUUCUUGAUUUUGAUGGUUUUAUGCUUUUCAAAUGCUCAUAAACAUAGGAUAUAAAUGAAUAACAUUUCAUGCAUCUGAAGCAAAUCGUUUUUUAUAUGGAUCUUUGGUACUAAAAGUGAAGAAUUUUUUUUCAAUUUCAAGUUUUUAAUUUUGAAGUAAGGUGCUUUGUGUAAUCAUUAAUAGUGAACUUAAUUUUGUAGCUCUGAAAUGCCUUCAUCUUCAAAUAUUAGAGUGCUUAUCAUGAAAAUCUUGUGAAUAAAUUCUUAAUGUCUUGAUCAGUCAAAUGAUGGCAGAUUUUGUUUUUUCAUUUAAAUUGAAUUCCUGAAUAAUAUUUAUUGAAUGAUGAGUUGGGUCAUGAUCAAAUCCACUGAUGAUGGGCCAACUUUUCAAAGACAGUAUUCCAGGUAGGGGUGUUCUGCCGGUUUCCGGUAAGCUAUUGGAACAGUUUCAUUAAGAUAUAUGAUAACAAAAAGACCCUCACAGAUGGCAAGUAGAAUGUUCAGAGCUGAAGAAAAUGUAUUUGUCAGUUUAAUAGGCCAAGCAACCCAUUGAACUGAUACUUAUAAGGCAACAAUGCUUUGACUUGGCAAUUCGUUCAGCACAAUCAUUAUUACUCAGCAAUAAAGUGUCUUGUAGUGAACCAAAAUUUCAAAACGAGCAGUACUGAUAGCUUAUUGACAAGGAUUGAUUAGAACGCCCUUAGUUGAAGACAGUAUUUCAUAGACAUUAGCACAAGAACAUUUUCGCCAAGAGAAAGUUUCUGCCACUUUCAGUUUAAAUGAAAUUCUCAAUGCCUCCUCUUUCAAAUUACUCUUUGAGUCACUAGGGCUGCUUCUCUGCUCAACUCUUUGAUGUGAAAAAGGACACUGUAUAACCAGGCUAACUUCUGGAGUGAAACAGGAAAACGGCCAUUUUGAUCAAUGCAUUCUCUUUUAAGUAGAAUGUGGACUAACCUAUUGGUUUAAUAGAAGUCAGAUAAUACAUUUGUAAAUUACAUGUUUAAUAGAGAUGGCUUAGUAUAUGAACUACUUAUUGCCCCUCCCCUCCCCCCCCCCCCAAAAAAAAGUCUUGCCUGCAAAGGAAUCUAUUGCAGAUUGGCUUAUUUUGCAGCAGUGUGUCCUCAUUGACUGAUUUAGUGGCUAUGCCAUUCUUGUGAUAUUCAAAAUAUCGACAGUUCAAAACUAAAACCAUAGAACAAACUCUGUGCCUCAUGAUCACGAAAUAACUCACUUGUACUUGAGACUUGAUAAAUUUAGAUUUCAAUUUUUAGACACGUUUUACCACAACAGAACAAGUCAGAGACAAGGUUGUGUUCAUUUACGAUGGAAACCUUUGAACAGCAAUAUAAAACUAUGCACAGCUAUUAUAUCAGUCUAAAAUAGAACAGCGGCACAAUUAACAGGAAUGUGUUGGAGAGGAAUGACAUACACCAUAAUGAGAACAAUUCAAUUGAUUUCUUUAGAUUUCUUUCAUAAAAAAGAAUACACUGUAAUUUUAUCUAGUAAAUACAAUAUUUAUACAAUACUAAGCAAAAGUAUUCAUCGAUAGACUUAGGAGUAAGAAUAAUCAUAAGAAAAAUAAUCACAAAAAUGCUUUUUUCUCUUAAAUCUUUAAAACGUAAAAAUAUUUGAUAUUCUUCAAUUCAAGGUUGUCCUUAAACUCAUUCUCUUGCUUAAGCACAAAUAAAGAAAAAAGAAAAAAACAAAUUCUCAACUUUUGACAAAUUGUAGAUGAUAGUAUACUUUGCAGUUAUCAUCUUUCUUCAUUGAACAAAUAUUAACACUGUACAUAUCGCUCUUUGAACCGUAACUCUAUACAAUACAAGUCGGUAAAAGGCUCUUUGGAAAGAUUUGUAUAAUAUUUACAUUAACAAUUAAAAGAGGCUUUCCACAGACGGUAUUGGUUAAAAUUAAGAAAAUAAAAUUUACAAAAGUGAUACAUUGUGUUCAAAGUGUAUCUAUGUCCAAACGUACUUAAUCAAAAAUAUACAGACAUUGCUCAUCUCAGAUAAAUCUUCUCUCUUGAGAGGGCAAUUCAUUUGAUAAAAGUCAAAUAAUAAAGAUUCCAAGUAUUUAUAUAUCUAUAUAUACUUCGAUACAUACAUAUACGAAUGUACAAAUAUAAAAGCGUGAGAUGAGGAAAAUGAUAAUAGAAAAUAAUCAAAUAAAUAAAGAAAAAAAUGAAAGAACAAAACAAGAAAUUACCACAGAAAGCACAUCUCCACAAAGGUUGCAAUAUGUAAAAAUUAAAGAAUUUGUUAAGUGUUCAAAAUAUACAGUACAGAUAUUUUUAAGAAAAGGUGAAAAAUUUUAGUUUCAUGGACUUGUAUUUAACACUACACCCGUAAUAAAAGAAAGAAAAAUUAUGAAAAAC